Molecule: ribosomal RNA, 301 nt
Filed under: uncultured bacterium
Lineage: Bacteria
Description: partial 16S ribosomal RNA
Rfam family: Bacterial small subunit ribosomal RNA
Source: RNAcentral
CAGUAGCCGCGGUAAUACGUAGGUCCCGAGCGUUGUCCGGAUUUAUUGGGCGUAAAGGGAGCGCAGGCGGUUUAGUAAGUCUGGAGUUAAAGGCAUUGGCUCAACCAAUGUAUGCUUUGGAAACUGCUUGACUUGAGUGCAGAAGGGGAGAGUGGAAUUCCAUGUGUAGCGGAGAAAUGCGUAGAUAUAUGGAGGAACACCGGUGGCGAAGGCGACUCUCUGGUCUGUAACUGACGCUGAGGAGCGAAAGCGUGGGGAGCGAACAGGAUUAGAUACCCCUGUAGUCCCUGUCUCUUAUACC